GAUGAACGCUGGCGGCGUGCUUAACACAUGCAAGUCGAACGGAAAGGCCCAAGCUUGCUUGGGUACUCGAGUGGCGAACGGGUGAGUAACACGUGGGUGAUCUGCCCUGCACUUCGGGAUAAGCCUGGGAAACUGGGUCUAAUACCGGAUAGGACCACAUUUUGGAUGGUGUGGUGGAAAGUUUUUCGGUGUGGGAUGAGCUCGCGGCCUAUCAGCUUGUUGGUGGGGUAAUGGCCUACCAAGGCGUCGACGGGUAGCCGGCCUGAGAGGGUGUACGGCCACAUUGGGACUGAGAUACGGCCCAGACUCCUACGGGAGGCAGCAGUGGGGAAUAUUGCACAAUGGGCGCAAGCCUGAUGCAGCGGCGCCGCGUGGGGGAUGACGGCCUUCGGGUUGUAAACUCCUUUCGCUAGGGACGAAGCGUUAUGUGACGGUACCUGGAGAAGAAGCACCGGCUAACUACGUG
RNAcentral lists this ribosomal RNA (466 nucleotides) under uncultured bacterium. RNAcentral describes it as "partial 16S ribosomal RNA". It matches the Rfam family "Bacterial small subunit ribosomal RNA", at positions 28 to 507 of the family's 1533-position model. The record is from RNAcentral.